AUUACAUGUUAUUUCAGUGAGAUACAAGAGAAAGAAGUAGGUUGUGGCUACACCUGGCAAUUCUGACAGCACAAUCUUUAGCGCCACUAGAUACACCUGAGGAGUUUCUUGGUUGUCUGCUCUAGGAGAACAUUCACACAACUCAGCAUCAGGUGACAGAGGAAUGUGAGAUGGUCUCAAUCCGCCCCUGUGACGCUUCCCACCUCAGCUACCAGAGGCAUGGAGCUACGGGAACAGCUCUCCAGCUGCUUGUUCUGUGCCAUACUCCUAGCAACAAUUCCCUUUUCAGAAACCUCUGAGGAGAAAACUGAAAGCCUUGAGAAGAGCACUGAAAAAAUGGUUGAGGCUCACUUAGUCCUACAAAACAAGAUUCUCAUAGGCACGGUUGUUGUCCUCAUUGUUGUCAUCGUUAUCAUCGUUAUCAUCUUAAGUUGUCGUUGUUCAAGAAAAAGAAGGCGAGAUCCUGAAGAAGGUAACAAAAUUUUGCCAAGUAAUACACACAAACACACACACACAAACACAAAAGAUAAGCAGAAAAAAUACUAUUUGUGGUGAGUAUUAAUUUCCCAGACAAAUAUGUAACCAGUGA
This 589-nucleotide long non-coding RNA is filed under the name Chrysemys picta bellii (western painted turtle). Its description in RNAcentral is "lncRNA (ENSCPBG00000022247.1)". Lineage: Eukaryota; Metazoa; Chordata; Testudines; Emydidae. The record is from RNAcentral.